Molecule: ribosomal RNA, 407 nt
Filed under: uncultured prokaryote
Also listed under: 1 other name
Description: bacterial SSU rRNA
Rfam family: Bacterial small subunit ribosomal RNA
Source: RNAcentral
UGGGGAAUAUUGGGCAAUGGGGGAAACCCUGACCCAGCAACGCCGCGUGAAGGAAGAAGGUCUUCGGAUUGUAAACUUCUGUCAUUGGGGACGAAGGAAGUGACGGUACCCAAUGAGGAAGCCCCGGCUAACUACGUGCCAGCAGCCGCGGUAAUACGUAGGGGGCGAGCGUUGUCCGGAAUUACUGGGCGUAAAGGGUGCGUAGGCGGCGAUGCAAGUCCAUUGUGAAAAGCCCGGGCUUAACCUGGGAGGUGCAGUGGAAACUGCAUGGCUUGAGUGCAGGAGAGGAAAGUGGAAUUCCUAGUGUAGCGGUGAAAUGCGUAGAUAUUAGGAGGAACACCAGUGGCGAAGGCGGGUAACUGGACUGCAACUGACGCUGAGGCGCGAAAGUGUGGGGAGCAAACAGG